RNAcentral lists this ribosomal RNA (253 nucleotides) under uncultured bacterium. RNAcentral's name for it is "partial 16S ribosomal RNA". It matches the Rfam family "Bacterial small subunit ribosomal RNA", at positions 524 to 776 of the family's 1533-position model. The record is from RNAcentral.
UACAGAGGGGGCAAGCGUUAUUCGGAAUUAUUGGGCGUAAAGGGCGCGUAGGCGGCCUGGCAAGUGGAAGGUGAAAUCCCUCGGCUUAACCGAGGAACUGCCCUCCAAACUGCUUGGCUUGAGUCCGGGAGAGGUGAGUGGAAUUCCCAGUGUAGCGGUGAAAUGCGCAGGUAUCGGGAGGAACACCAGUAGCGAAGGCGGCACUCUGGGCCGGUACUGACGCUGAGGAGCGAAAGCGUGGGGAGCGAACAGG